UCACUUCCUCCAUCCAUCCUCUACAGGUCUGUGCAUCUCUCCUCCUACUUCUGUGCGUCCUCCGUCACCGACCAACUUAGCCUCGGUCCAGUCCCUCGUGUGCCAGUGAUCGCCUGACGCGAAGCGGUGCGAGGCAACGUAGGCAGCCGAUGCGCGGGGGCGGGAGUGGAAGCGGUUUUCGUGACGCGCCGGUUGUACUCCGCAAGGACACGAGAAACACGACCAAAACACGAGAAUCCCAAAAGAAAUGGCUAAUUGAGCAGAAAGAAGAGAAUAUGACCUUUUGGUUGCUUUAACAAUGAAAGGACUGAACUUGGAAAACACUUCAAUUUUGUCAGAGGAGUUGAUGCUCAAGUUUUUUGUGCAUUUAAUUCUGAGGGGAAACCACAUCCACAGAAAUUAAAGAAUCAGUUUCGUAACCAGGAUGUGGUGGUACUUGAUUGAAAGAUCUAGGUUGAGAAAGGCACAUUUUCUUUGACGAGCACAAGUAUGGAAAGACCAAAAGAUCCAGAUUGGAAGGACACCGUUCAAAGGUACAAGCACAUGUCAUGGAACUAUUUCUACCGGUGGUUGUAAAGUCCACAUAUCAAGAUGUGAUGUUAUAUCUUCUUGCUUUAUAUAUCUUAUUUUAUGAUGGUGAAUUGAUGGAUGUUGACUAGAUUAACAUUUUCUUUUGCACUGCCUAUUUGCAAAAACAUAAAUGAUGUGGGAAUAUAAGAACAAGAGCUUGUGAUGUAAUGUUCUUUGCUUUCUUUUUAGUUGGCGGUAGGAACGCUUUC
Molecule: long non-coding RNA, 779 nt
Organism: Triticum dicoccoides
Lineage: Eukaryota; Viridiplantae; Streptophyta; Magnoliopsida; Poales; Poaceae
Exons: 3
Source: RefSeq, a predicted model, not a curated record